UUAGAGGACCUUGUUCUCCUGCCAUCCUCCCUCUGGCUCUCACAAUCUUCCUACCUGCUCUCCUAUGGAGUUCCCUGAGCCUUGAAGAAAGGGGUUUGAUGGAGACAUCCCAAUUAGACCUAAUUGUUCCAAGGUCUCGAACUCUGCAUAAUUUCUGGCUGUCAAACAUGGGAAACCAUCAUCAAGUGCCAUUAUUUAAUACUAUUCUUUCACUGUAUUGGCUGUAUUAAAUUUCACUGUGAAGACCUAUCAAUUUUGGAAAAUU
Long non-coding RNA from Peromyscus eremicus (cactus mouse), 265 nucleotides. RefSeq lists it as uncharacterized. The record is from RefSeq and is a predicted model, not a curated record. NCBI's taxonomy places the organism in Eukaryota, Metazoa, Chordata, Mammalia, Rodentia, Cricetidae. The transcript has 3 exons.